RNAcentral lists this ribosomal RNA (460 nucleotides) under uncultured bacterium. Its description in RNAcentral is "partial 16S ribosomal RNA". It matches the Rfam family "Bacterial small subunit ribosomal RNA", at positions 338 to 795 of the family's 1533-position model. The record is from RNAcentral.
CCUACGGGUGGCAGCAGUGAGGAAUAUUGGUCAAUGGACGAGAGUCUGAACCAGCCAAGUAGCGUGAAGGAUGACUGCCCUAUGGGUUUUAAACUUCUUUUAUAUGGGAAUAAAAUAUUCCACGUGUGGGAUUUUGUAUGUACCAUAUGAAUAAGGAUGGGCUAACUCCGUGCCAGCAGCCGCGGUAAUACGGAGGAUCCGAGCGUUAUCCGGAUUUAUUGGGUUUAAAGGGAGCGUAGGUGGAUUGGUAAGUCAGUUGUGAAAGUUGGCGGCUCAACCGUAAAAUUGCAGUUGAAACUGGCAGUCUGGAGUACAGUAGGGGUGGGCGGAAUUCGUGGUGUAGCGGUGAAAUGCUUAGAUAUCACGAAGAACUCCGAUGGCGAAGGCAGCCCACUGGACUGCAACUGACACUGAGGCUCGAAAGCGUGGGUAUCAAACAGGAUUAGAUACCCGAGUAGUC